AGUAAAAGUCGUAACAAGGUUUCCGUAGGUGAACCUGCGGAAGGAUCAUUACCGAGACGAGAUCGGGGGGGCGACCCCCGCAGAUGUCGUAUCACACCCUCCCUUGCACGCACCGACGUCCUUCCUCGGCGGGGUGACCCGCCGGCGGAACGUCCCAAACCCUUCUUCGUGCAUCGUAGAAGUACCCGUUCGGAUGAGAAAUUCAAUCGUUACAAUCUUCAACAAUGGAUCUCUUGGCUCUGGCAUCGAUGAAGAACGCAGCGAAAUGCGAUAAGUAGUGUGAAUUGCAGAAUCCAGUGAAUCAUCGAAUCUUUGAACGCACAUUGCGCCCCUCGGUAUUCCGUGGGGCAUGCCUGUUCGAGCGUCAUUUCAAGACUCAAGCUACCCUGCUUGGUGUUGGGCGUCUGUCCCCGCCUCCGGCGUGGGACUCGCCCCAAAGACAUUGGCAGCCCAGGCCGUCCGACCCGCCCGCAGCAUAUUGCGUUGGGGGGUUCGAACGUCGGCCUCGGCGUCCAGCAAAAGAGACUCUCUCACCGUCUUGACCUCGGAUCAGGUAGGGAUACCCGCUGAACUUAAGCAUAUCAAUAAGCGGAGGA
This 596-nucleotide ribosomal RNA is filed under the name uncultured fungus. Its description in RNAcentral is "eukaryotic LSU rRNA". The stretch from base 214 to 367 matches the Rfam family "5.8S ribosomal RNA". The record is from RNAcentral. Lineage: Eukaryota; Fungi.